GCGGGGGCGAGUACGCGCGCGGGCGUGGACCGGGCCCGGGUUCCGAGGGCCUGCUGGAGCGGCUCGUGCGGCUCCUCGCGGGCAGGCAGCAGCUUCUAUGAGGACAGCACUGAGUGUGGGGACCCACGGCAAGAGGAGCAAGCUGACAGGAGCCACCGUGGGGCUGCCUCUGUUGCCUGCAGAUACAAUGGGAAGGAACGAUCUUGGGGAGGCUGUGCGGAAGAAGACUUCACAGAGGAAGCAGCAUUUGGUUGGACCGUUUUGCCAAGAGGAAGGGCGUCUACAGUGCUACCCGGAAGGUUCUGCACCAUGGUCACUAGAAGGAGCGAUUCUCACCUGUCGGUGAGGUGUGAUGGCCACAAAGACUCUGUUGAAGUGACAGUGUUCAAGUCACUCUAGAGAGCAAGCAGCCUGGGCGAGACAGCAUAGAAGCUGGUCUGGAAGCCCUGUCUUUACUGCCAGUGAAACAGGCAGCCACAGAGAAAAUGUAAGCAGGUAGUGACAUAUCCAGAUUCUUAUUUUAUUUUAUUUAUUUAUUUAUUUAUUUGUUUGUUUGUUUGUUUGUUUGUUUAUUUAAGGGCAUUGCACUUUAGGUCAGAGUGACCUAUGUAGCCCGGGCUGGUCUGGAACCUCUAGCAAUCCUCCUGCCUCAGCCUCCCAAAUGACAGGCAUGAGCCAAUAGACUCUUUCUGGCUGUUCAUCGAGAAUGGGCAAUGGAGAAAGGGAUAAGAGAGAAGAAGAAGGAGGCUUUAGAGCUGUGGGUGGAUCACUGGCAGAAAGGCAGUGUUAGAUCUGAGAAACACAGACACUGGGUAACUGUGGGGUAGAUGAGAAGGCAGGAAUGUGGGCUGUGAUAGGGAUGGGGGUGCCAGCACCAAGGGCCACGUGGCCAUCGAGGUGGGAGCAGAGGCUGUAUGCGGCUAGAAUACAAGCAGGGGUGAUGGGAAGACAGGCGAGGGCCAGCCCCUCCUGCCCACGCCAGGUCAGGACUCUGGGGCUUAUUCCUGAAGGCAAUGGGGCAUCACAUCAAUUUUCUCCAGGCAGGAAAAGACCAUGCUGAGAUUUGCGGUUUUUGAAAGAUCAUUUUGGUGGCAGGGUAGAGGGUGGGAAGUGGCAGGUGGGCGAGGCUGGAAGGAGAGAGGCGGGGAGGGUGCUGGUUAGAGGGGCACUCAGAGGCCUCUGAAGCACCCAGGACAUCUUCUAACUCCAAGAAAAAAACUGCUUUCUCAGCGAGGACUAAAACCAGGCCGAGUUCACACAGCAAGUCAGUGGCAGACAAGAUCUCUCCUGGCCUUCUCAAGCACCCUGGUCACUGACAAAAGCCAUCAUGAAUAUUUUACUUGAACUGUCAGUCCAGAAACUACUAUGUCACCAGGAGAUGGCACUGUGAUUGUUCCCAUUUUCCAGAUGAGGAACCGGAAGCUCUUCAGGGCUGUCACUCAGCUCAUAUAGGGACCCACAGCUGGGACUCAAUCCAGGCAGCCUGACUCACUCAUACAAACCAAAGAACCCUAACCAGGAGGCCACAGGCCCAAUGGGGGCUAUGGAUAUGUUUCAGGGACCUGUAGGAGUGUAUUAUAAUUUUUUUUUCAGAGCUGAGGACCGAACCCAGGGCCUUGCACUUGCUAGGCAAGCGCUCUACCACUGAGCUAAAUCCCCAACCCCUACAAUUUUUAAGUUAUUGCUAAUAUUAAAAAGUUGAAGGCUGUCUCGAAAAACCAAAAAAAAAAAAAAAAAAAGUUGAAGGAUUCCACAGAAGGAGAAAGCCUGAAAUUAAGACAAGAUCUCUUUAUGCUAGCAUCCUCAGGGGUCUUGUCUAUCUCCUGGUCAUCUCAGAGUGACACCAGGUUCACAACAACAGCUUGGGCCUCUUCUCUGCCUCCAAACAGUCAACUGGACAGCUCUGAAAGCAAGUCUUAUCCAGAGAAUCUCUGUGAGACCAGGGAAAAACAUGCUCUUGUCCAGCAAGCAUUUGGUCCUUCCUCUCCUGUCCACAGCCCCAAGCCCUCACCACUCAGCCUGCCGCACCAAGGGCCUUCUCCAGUGUCUCUUGCUCAGGCCAGGCACCUGGAGGGAUCUUGACUCUCCUCUCUUACACACCCACUUCCUGUCUGUUUUCAUCUUUGAGCUCCAUCCAGUAUCCAAGGGUGUCCUACCACCUGCCAACCCUGGGCACCACAGGAGCCAGGGAGCAGCAUGUGUUAGCGGUUCAGGGUCGGCGUCUACACUCACUCUCUGGGUCUGUUCUGUGAAAGGGCAGGGCAGGGCAACUCACUCCAUUCCCGUUAUCCUUCAUCCUUCCAUCCAGAUUUGGGAGCUCAGUAAAAGCCUGGGUGAUAAGAUACUAGGUAAAAAUUCUAAUUCCUGCUGGAUGUGGGGGUGCAUGCCAAUCCCAGAUCUUGGGGGCAGAGGCAGGCAGAUCUCUGUGCGAUCAAGGCCAGCCUGGUCUACACAGUAAAUUCCAGGUCAGCUAGAGAUAUGUAGUGGGACCCUGUCUCAAAAAAAAAAAAAAAAAAAAAAAAAAAAGUUUCAUUUUGAAUUCCCAAGUUGAAAGUAUGGCUCAGAGACAAAGGCACUUGGCUAGCAAUUACGAAGUCUGGUCCAGGACAGGUAGGACACAGGAAGAGAGUGUGGGUAUCUGAAAUGAUGAGUUUGGCUUUCAGUACCCUGGGUCAGGUCAGAGUUCUGUGAGAUGGCCUCACAAUAUCUUCUAGGGCCUGGCAUAAAGCAAGUGCUCACAACUCAUUUGCUGAAAGAACUAGUGAUGAGCGAUGAGCCCUCCAGAUCCCCCAGAGAGCCUGAGCAUCCAUUCACUCAGAAGGCCUUGGAAUUCCCAGUCAGAGACAGGACACAUGCUCUACUACCAGCCACCACAUGGAGCAUGCACUGUGUGCCCAACACAGGCCUCAGAGCCCUGUGCUCUUCACUGUGACCCCAGGAAGCAGCAGCAACUACUUUUUAUGGCUGAGUAAACUACAGGCAGGAGAGGCUAAGUGACAAAAAUGGUCAAGGUCAUAUAGCUCAUAAGUGGCAGAGCUAGAAACCAACCCGGGCUGCCUGACCCCUGACCUCUCGUUCUUCAGGAUUAUUCAGGCUGCUCCUCAAGAAGAAAUAAGGUCUAGAGAGGGAAGACUGUUCAGGUUGCAGAUGGGACAUGCCGAGCAGGACUGCCAGCACCAUGGUGUAGUCGGACUUUCUGUUCUGCCGCCAGCUCACAAAUAACGACACAGAGACUUACUAUUAAUUAUGAAAGCUUGGCCUUAGCUGAGGCUUGUUCCACUAGCUCUUAUGACUUAAAUUAACCUGCUUUUAUUAGUCUAGGUUUUACCAUGAGGCUUCUUACCUCUCUUUCAUUCUGUAUGUCCAACUCCCUCCACGUCUCGUUGGCGGCUCCCUGUGCCUCGAUUAUCUCCUACUUCCUCUCCCUGCCGAAAGUCCUGUACCUCCUGCCUAGCUAUCGGCCGUUCAGCUCUUUAUUAAAUCAAUCACAGCAACAUACAGUAUCCCACAACACCAUGGCCCUUUCCGUAGCUGCUAUGGAUCUGACGUCAGCCAGAGCUCCAGGCUUUCAAGCUACUCUGGUGGCUCCCACAGCUCCCACAGCUCCCACCUUGGGAUCAAGGCGAAUCUGACAUUCCUACCACCACCACCCCUGCUUGACUAUGGACCCUUCAUGUGAAAACACCACCACCCCAAGCAGGAUGUGCCUGCUCAUAUAGUAGUGGCUCCGCUAUUGAGAGAGACCAACAGCCUUCCAAUUGGAUUUAAGGCCCAUUCUACAAGAAGGAGUUCCAGCCUGGUACUGUAAGCCAGAAUAAAAGUCUGUGGCUGGGGAAGUCAUAGGUCCCAAUGGGAAAGCAACUUUUUUUUUUCCUAGAUGGAUGUGAUAUGUCUGUUAAACUUAUGCCCAUGGAUCAAUGUUGUAUCAGCUCACUCAUGACCAUUGUGGAAGCUCCUGAGAACCGUUACUGUGACAUGUGAACUACUUCUUAGCCAUAGGUGGACACCUACAGUCACCCCCUCCAAGGCUCAGCGAUUACUGCAAAAGAGUGGGGCAGAAAGAGGAUAAGAGCCAGACAACUCAAAAUAGCUUCAGGAAGUCCCUGAAACUGACCAGAUCCAUGAGGCCCUCCCUACCAGAGUAAGCAACAGAAACUAAGUUUCCCUCUCAGACAGAAGGAAGGAAGGUGAGCUGCAAAGAAGACUGUGAGGCCCAACCAGUUGCCUAGAAGAAGCAGAAACCAGGAAGAGGUUUAGACCAACUGAGGCACCUGGAAAGGACACUCUCCAACCUGCUGAGCUGCCUUCAGGCUGUGCAGUGUGCUCCAGGGUCCUAGCUUUGUGAGCUGUCACCCAUGUUGGGGUGGGCUUUGGUGAUGCAGAUGUCUCUGAGUCAUUUCUGCUCUUAUAAGUAACCCCUCACCCAUAUUUCUGUAAGUAACCCCAAUAAAACUCAUUAGUUCACCAAUUUGGA
Peromyscus californicus insignis is the source of this 4474-nucleotide long non-coding RNA. RefSeq lists it as uncharacterized. The record is from RefSeq and is a predicted model, not a curated record. The transcript has 2 exons. Lineage: Eukaryota; Metazoa; Chordata; Mammalia; Rodentia; Cricetidae.